UCCAGGCCCUACGGGGUGCAGCAGGCGCGAAACCUCCGCAAUGUGAGAAAUCGCGACGGGGGGAUCCCAAGUGCCAUUCUUAACGGGAUGGCUUUUCAUUAGUGUAAAGAGCUUUUGGAAUAAGAGCUGGGCAAGACCGGUGCCAGCCGCCGCGGUAACACCGGCAGCUCUAGUGGUAGCAGUUUUUAUUGGGCCUAAAGCGUCCGUAGCCGGUUUAAUAAGUCUCUGGUGAAAUCCUGCAGCUUAACUGUGGGAAUUGCUGGAGAUACUAUUAGACUUGAGAUCGGGAGAGGUUAGAGGUACUCCCAGGGUAGAGGUGAAAUUCUGUAUCCUGGGAGGACCGCCUGUUGCGAAGGCGUCUGACUGGAACGAUUCUGACGGUGAGGGACGAAAGCUAGGGGCGCGAACCGGAUUAGAUACCCGGGUAGUCCUAGCUGUAAACGAUGCGGACUUGGUGUUGGGGUGGCUUUGAGCUGUCCCAGUGCCGAAGGGAAGCUGUUAAGUCCGCCGCCUGGGAAGUACGGUCGCAGGACUGAAACUUAAAGGAAUUGGCGGGGGAGCACCACAACGCGUGGAGCCUGCGGUUUAAUUGGAGUCAACGCCGG
This 605-nucleotide ribosomal RNA is filed under the name uncultured archaeon. RNAcentral's name for it is "bacterial SSU rRNA". It matches the Rfam family "Archaeal small subunit ribosomal RNA", at positions 315 to 921 of the family's 1478-position model. The record is from RNAcentral.